This 462-nucleotide ribosomal RNA is filed under the name Streptococcus sp. oral taxon 064. RNAcentral's name for it is "bacterial SSU rRNA". It matches the Rfam family "Bacterial small subunit ribosomal RNA", at positions 28 to 474 of the family's 1533-position model. Lineage: Bacteria; Bacillati; Bacillota; Bacilli; Lactobacillales; Streptococcaceae. The record is from RNAcentral.
GACGAACGCUGGCGGCGUGCCUAAUACAUGCAAGUAGAACGCUGAAGGAGGAGCUUGCUCUUCUGGAUGAGUUGCGAACGGGUGAGUAACGCGUAGGUAACCUGCCUGGUAGCGGGGGAUAACUAUUGGAAACGAUAGCUAAUACCGCAUAAUAGUAGAUGUUGCAUGACAUUUGCUUAAAAGGUGCAAUUGCAUCACUACCAGAUGGACCUGCGUUGUAUUAGCUAGUUGGUGAGGUAACGGCUCACCAAGGCAACGAUACAUAGCCGACCUGAGAGGGUGAUCGGCCACACUGGGACUGAGACACGGCCCAGACUCCUACGGGAGGCAGCAGUAGGGAAUCUUCGGCAAUGGACGGAAGUCUGACCGAGCAACGCCGCGUGAGUGAAGUAGGUUUUCGGAUCGUAAAGCUCUGUUGUAAGAGAAGAACGAGUGUGAGAGUGGAAAGUUCACACUGAGACG